Molecule: non-coding RNA, 898 nt
Organism: Phasianus colchicus (ring-necked pheasant)
Lineage: Eukaryota; Metazoa; Chordata; Aves; Galliformes; Phasianidae
Source: RefSeq, a predicted model, not a curated record
GACUGCAUCUCUCCCCAGCUCCUGCAGUCCAGAGUGGGCAAGGAAAGCACUCAUGCCUAGCAAGCUCCCCUGCCUGGCGUGGAUGUCACGUACAGGAUCUCUUAGGAUACAUCUUUAAUUACUGUGUUCUCUUAAUUACUCCUUUUGAUUUCCCUGACUAUAGCGUGAAGAUGAAGGGAAGACAAGGUCUUCAGUCAUGACAGAAGCAAAAAUUUCACUGCUGUCUGCUCUGAGGGAUGCACCCCAAAAAAAGAGCUGUCACGAUAGCUGGAGAAAAGAAGGCACUUACAUACCAAGCACUCAUCAACUGGCAUCCCUUAGCUGCUUAAUACUGCUGUCUGCACAAGAAGAAAAAAAUCAUAGUACCAGACAACGUAAUAGUAGGAGGAGGCGAUUCUCUAAAGAGAGUGAAGGCAAACUUAUGAGGAGCGUAGGGCUCAUCUCGCCUGGUGGUGUACACAGAGCUGGAGCCUGCACUGUACCUGAUGUGACAACUCAAGGAAAUGCACCCAAGGGAAAAUUACAGCACGUGGCAUUCACCUUGGUUCAGUUCUGUAGUGCUUUUUGUACGUCCCCCUGACAGUGGAUGUUAAGAUACAGCCAAACCUUGCUCGCUCUGCCCUCCCUGUGCCAUCUGCUCGUGAACUGAGGAGCUGGCAGCCCCGCAGGCAACGCUCCCACCACCUGCUCCCGCUGAGCCUUCCUCCCUCAGCAGCUCUCCCCCUCACUGUUCCACCAGUGCACACAGGAUUCAUUAGGAACUGGCUGCAGAGUGCUGCCAUCGCAGCGAUCCCCCCUCCUGCCCAUCUCCCCGCUGUAGGCCUCAGGUCUGAGGCAUGGCAUGGCAAGCAGCUACAGGCUAUCCUAUCCAACAGCAGGGCUCCCUUCCCUUCCCUUC